CAAUAAAUACCAGGAAACACCAAUCUCUGCAGGGGAUAAAGGCCAAUGCUGAGGAUCAAACAAAGUCGCUGCCGGGAAUAAAAGUUACUGCUAGGGAAAUAAGCAGGAUCACCGGGGAUCAGAGAUUGCUGUUGGGAAUAAGCAAGGGAUCACAAUCACCAAGGCUGGGGAUCUUCCAACAGUACGCAGAGGCAAGGAUAACAUCAGUCAGAGAAGAAAUCUACUGGGAUCUUAUCGGGGGAUGAUGUGGACAUUUGUGGGGAAC
This 265-nucleotide long non-coding RNA is filed under the name Lathyrus oleraceus (garden pea). RNAcentral's name for it is "Pisum sativum (pea) long non-coding RNA (PSAT_LNC031964)". Lineage: Eukaryota; Viridiplantae; Streptophyta; Magnoliopsida; Fabales; Fabaceae. The record is from RNAcentral.